UAAAGAAAAAUAGAAGACAACAACAACAGAAAAACGAUAAAAAAAAAAAGGUUGUCUGAAGAGAAAAAAUCGAUUCGACAUCAUAGAUCUGAUUCAAUCGAGGAUGGAUCAGACAACCUCUAUUUCCGAAUUGAAAAACCCAGAGUAAGAUCCAUCAUCAAUCUGUCUUAAUGGAGUACCGGAUGACGUCUUCAAUUGAUAAGAGAGAUAAUCUUCUAAAAACUGUUUAGAUCCCGAUUUGUUCUAACUUUUUCUGAUUAUAGCUCAGAAACUGUAAAGAUUCCUGCUUGAAUUGCUCUUUUAUGUCUGAUUCCAGCGUUUCUUCUAAGCAGGGAAAUCUAUAAACGAAUAUGGGUGUUCUUUAUAAGGAACUCGAAUGACUUCCACUUAACCAAAGAUAAGUAACCCUAAACCCAUUUCUUGAUUUGUAAAUACCUAUGACUUAUCUAUCCAAACACUCUAAUCUUUUUGUUUUUUGAUAUUACCUGGUCAGGGUUAAAUUACUUUCAUUAAGAAGAAGUGUAGAGACAACAAUUGGAUUUAAUUUCGGCAUAAAACUUACCAUAUAGUUUUGGAUUUCUUUUUCCUUGCAAGUAGAGAAAUAUUUUUCCUACAAUGGGUCACUAAGUGAGGAGAAAUAUGAGGAACACUAAAUCAAAGAUGUAUGAUUAUAGCUUUUGAGUGGAGCUUCGAGAUAUAUAAUUGAAUUGUCUUCUUUUAAAGUCAGGAGAAAUAUGAAGAACACUAAAUCAAAGAUGUUUGAUUAUAGCUUUUGAGUGGAGCUUCGAGAUAUAUAAUCGAAUUGAGUCUUCUUUCAAAGGUUUACAACGAUUGUGCAGAAAGGGCUAAAAACAUCAACAAUUACAGUCAACUAACUACGAACGAUGAUGGCGUCUUACACGGUUUCCGGACAGGACAUAAUCAAAUGGGGAAAUACAGAGGUUUGAUCCCGCGGUACAGAGGGUUUCCUGUUAUAUGUUCACAUAACUUAAACUUUGAAAAUAGAAGUGGAAGAGUAACAUUGCAAUCUACUAUAUAUACUGGUAAGUUAUUCAAAUAACACUUAUAUUUAAAUAACACUUAUAUGUAUCGUGACCUCAAAAUGUACUAUCAUUGGGUUGGGAUGAAGAAAGAUGUAGCUAGUUGGGUCACGAGGUGCAAUGUGUGUCAGCUAGUGAAGGCUGAGCAUCAGGUUCCAGGUAGGUUGCUGAAGAGUCUGCCCAUUCCAGAGUGGAAGUGGGAUAUGAUCACGAUGGACUUCGUGGUAGGAUUGCCAGUGUCUCGGACCUUUGAUGCUAUUUGGGUCAUUGUGGACCGGUUGACUAAGUCGGCACAUUUUAUGGCUAUUAAGAAGACUGAUGGAGCAGCGGUCUUGG
Non-coding RNA from Camelina sativa (false flax), 1376 nucleotides. NCBI's taxonomy places the organism in Eukaryota, Viridiplantae, Streptophyta, Magnoliopsida, Brassicales, Brassicaceae. The record is from RefSeq and is a predicted model, not a curated record.